RNAcentral lists this ribosomal RNA (301 nucleotides) under uncultured bacterium. RNAcentral's name for it is "partial 16S ribosomal RNA". It matches the Rfam family "Bacterial small subunit ribosomal RNA", at positions 509 to 807 of the family's 1533-position model. The record is from RNAcentral.
CAGCCGCCGCGGUAAUACGAAGGGGGCUAGCGUUGUUCGGAUUUACUGGGCGUAAAGCGCACGUAGGCGGACUUUUAAGUCAGGGGUGAAAUCCCGGGGCUCAACCCCGGAACUGCCUUUGAUACUGGAAGUCUUGAGUAUGGUAGAGGUGAGUGGAAUUCCGAGUGUAGAGGUGAAAUUCGUAGAUAUUCGGAGGAACACCAGUGGCGAAGGCGGCUCACUGGACCAUUACUGACGCUGAGUUGCGAAAGCGUGGGGAGCAAACAGGAUUAGAUACCCCCGUAGUCCCUGUCUCUUAUAC